Non-coding RNA from Gossypium hirsutum (cotton), 145 nucleotides. The record is from Rfam. Lineage: Eukaryota; Viridiplantae; Streptophyta; Magnoliopsida; Malvales; Malvaceae.
UGUUAAAAAUUACAUCUAUUUCUAUUGUUAAAAUCUGACGUGGUUGACAGAAAAAUUAGGCAGUUACAUGGGGCGUGCCAUGUGUACCUCAUUUUGACGUACAAAGACUAGUUUUUAACAGUAGAAAUGGAUGGAAUUUUUAACA